RNAcentral lists this long non-coding RNA (256 nucleotides) under Vigna radiata. Its description in RNAcentral is "long non-coding RNA (VRAD_LNC007238)". The record is from RNAcentral. Lineage: Eukaryota; Viridiplantae; Streptophyta; Magnoliopsida; Fabales; Fabaceae.
AAGAAAAGAGAUGAACAAAUACAAAUGAAGUCCAAAUGGGUGCAAGGUUUCUUAAUAGAAAUUAAAUGGGGUGUAGGUUUCCUAAUAGAGGGAAUAAGGGUGUAAGGUUUCUUAAUAGAAAUUAAAUGUGGAACAUGUUUCCUAAUAAGUGAAAUGAGGUGUAUGGUUUCGUAGUAUAUAUUCAAAGUAUAUUUAAGAUUUUCAACCACAUAGAAUAUUAAUGGAUAACUAUAUCAUUAAUUAGAGGGUAUUUUAA